RNAcentral lists this ribosomal RNA (500 nucleotides) under uncultured Glomus. Its description in RNAcentral is "SSU rRNA". It matches the Rfam family "Eukaryotic small subunit ribosomal RNA", at positions 591 to 1092 of the family's 1831-position model. The record is from RNAcentral. Lineage: Eukaryota; Fungi; Glomeromycota; Glomeromycetes; Glomerales; Glomeraceae.
CCAAUAGCGUAUAUUAAAGUUGUUGCAGUUAAAAAGCUCGUAGUUGAAUUUCGGGAUCAGUACGCUGGUCGUGCCUUCGGUAUGCACUGGUUUCACUGAUUCCUCCCUUCUGAAGAACCGUAAUGCCAUUCAGUUGGUGUGGCGGGGAAUCAGGAUUGUUACUUUGAAAAAAUUAGAGUGUUUAAAGCAGGCUCGCGCUUGAAUACAUUAGCAUGGAAUAAUGAAAUAGGACGUUUGAUCCUAUUUUGUUGGUUUCUAGGAUUGACGUAAUGAUUAAUAGGGGUGUUUGGGGGCAUUAGUAUUAAAUUGUCAGAGGUGAAAUUCUUGGAUUUAUUGAAGACUAACUACUGCGAAAGCAUUUGCCAAGGAUGUUUUCAUUAAUCAAGAACGAAAGUUAGGGGAUCGAAGACGAUCAGAUACCGUCGUAGUCUUAACCAUAAACUAUGCCGACUAGGGAUCGGAUGAUGUUAAUUUUUUAAUGACUCAUUCGGCGCCUUACG